AACGGAUCUCUUGGUUCUGGCAUCGAUGAAGAACGCAGCGAAAUGCGAUAAGUAAUGUGAAUUGCAGAAUUCAGUGAAUCAUCGAAUCUUUGAACGCACAUUGCGCCCUCUGGUAUUCCGGAGGGCAUGCCUGUUCGAGCGUCAUUUCA
This 149-nucleotide ribosomal RNA is filed under the name Diaporthe cotoneastri. RNAcentral describes it as "5.8S ribosomal RNA". It matches the Rfam family "5.8S ribosomal RNA". From Rfam's summary of the family: 5.8S ribosomal RNA (5.8S rRNA) is a component of the large subunit of the eukaryotic ribosome. It is transcribed by RNA polymerase I as part of the 45S precursor that also contains 18S and 28S rRNA. Lineage: Eukaryota; Fungi; Ascomycota; Sordariomycetes; Diaporthales; Diaporthaceae. The record is from RNAcentral.